UUUUAUUCAGCUGUCUAGUUUAACUUCUAGCUGGGACUCUCUCUCUCUUCUCUAGAGAGAGAGAAUUCUCUCUUCUUGUCCCUCUUACCAGAAUCUAAUUUUUCAGAGGGAAGAUGAGAGAUUUGUUCUGGUUUUGAUGUAAGAUAAUUUCAAUCGAAAGAUUGAAUCUUUUACUUCGCUUUGGCGAUUUCUUUUUUCCUGUUGAGGAAUAAGCUUCGCUUUAUGCGAUCUUUUGUUGUGUAUCUUCAAAAUCGGGUUGGGUUGUUCUUCAUGUUUCUUCAAGUUUUAUCCUAUCCUAACCUGUUUUUGAAAUCAAAUAAAGUUAAUCUCUCCUCUUUCACAACAAAUUUCGAAUCCCGUAUGUUUUUGUGUUGGAAUCUUUUUCUCCAUAGAUCUCACUUACUCCUUUCUAAUUAGAGUCAAUCUCUACUUUUUUAUGUGAAGCCAAUGAUAGGCUUUUAGUAGAGUUUCUUUGAGGAAGGGAUGAUGUGGUGUUGGAUUUGCUCUCGGUGGAAUUAUAUAGAGAUUUAGAUAAGUCGGUAUCUCUUUGAUGGUCCGACAAAAAUCUCCCAUAGAUCCUCCGAGCUCUCCCCAAGUUUAUCAUCUAUUGGAGGCUGAGUUUUCAACCAUAAACAACGGUUUAAGUGGAAGAUGGAGUUCUAUUGGUACCAGAUCUUAAGUCUUGAAGAAACGACAUGAUAGGGGAACGAUUCAGGAGCAACACCGGUGGAGGAAGCUUGCAGCGGGCGGGUUCACCGCUUCCAGUGCGAAGGUCAUGCGUUUGGACGUGUGUCUUCUCGGAGCUCUUCUUGCGGACACGUGGAGGACACGAAGCUCUCACCGUUUUCUCUAUUAGGUUAUAAUGUCUUAGAGCAACCGCAACGGCGGUUUAUACUCAG
RNAcentral lists this long non-coding RNA (899 nucleotides) under Brassica napus (rape). RNAcentral describes it as "long non-coding RNA (BNAP_LNC002731)". The record is from RNAcentral. Lineage: Eukaryota; Viridiplantae; Streptophyta; Magnoliopsida; Brassicales; Brassicaceae.